UACGGGGGGGGCAAGCGUUGUUCGGAAUUACUGGGCGUAAAGGGCCAGUAGGCGGCCAACUAAGUCCGACGUGAAAUCCCAAGGCUUAACCUUGGAACUGCGUCGGAUACUGGAUGGCUUGAAUUCGGGAGAGGGAUGCAGAAUUCCAGGUGUAGCGGUGAAAUGCGUAGAUAUCUGGAGGAAUACCGGUGGCGAAGGCGGCAUCCUGGACCGACAUUGACGCUGAGGCGCGAAAGCUAGGGGAGCAAACGGG
Molecule: ribosomal RNA, 253 nt
Filed under: uncultured bacterium
Lineage: Bacteria
Description: partial 16S ribosomal RNA
Rfam family: Bacterial small subunit ribosomal RNA
Source: RNAcentral